CAACGCGAACCUUAUUUACCCGCGCCAGCGCUGCGGCCUGGGGCGCAUUGAUUUGUGCCCCGGGGGCCACUGCAAGGUGGCUGCCCCCGCUCCCUGGUUGCGUCCUUCACACCCGUGUUUUUCAACACACAAAACCUAAAUCUAAGAUUAAUGAUUUGCCUUAACGGCAGUCAAUAACCAAGACAACUCUCAACAACGGAUAUCUUGGCUCUCGCAACGAUGAAGAACGCAGCGAAAUGCGAUACGUAGUGUGAAUUGCAGAAUUCCGUGAACCAUCGAAUCUUUGAACGCAUAUUGCGCCGAAGGCUUCGGCCAACGGCAUGUCUGCCUCAGCGUCGGUUUAUCCCCUCACCCCACCAUCCCUCGGGAUGGAGCGUCUGCUAAUACUGCGGGCCUUGGAGUGGAUCUGGCUCUCCCAAUUGCAAGCAAUUGGGUUGGCUGAAGCACAGAGGCUUGAGCAUGGACCCGUUAUGGGCUCAACUGGAUAGGUAGCACCGGGGCUUUGCGCACCGACUACACGAAGUUGACGCCUGUGGACCUUGCUGGAGGCCAGCAGGAAACCCUGUAAAGGGCAACCAAACCUUCGACCUGAGCUCAGGCAAGAACACCCGCUGAACUUAAGCAUAUCAAUAAGCGGAGGAAAA
Molecule: ribosomal RNA, 644 nt
Filed under: Chlorophyta sp. L20
Lineage: Eukaryota; Viridiplantae; Chlorophyta
Description: eukaryotic LSU rRNA
Rfam family: 5.8S ribosomal RNA (bases 185-338)
Source: RNAcentral